RNAcentral lists this ribosomal RNA (537 nucleotides) under uncultured bacterium. RNAcentral describes it as "bacterial SSU rRNA". It matches the Rfam family "Bacterial small subunit ribosomal RNA", at positions 373 to 901 of the family's 1533-position model. The record is from RNAcentral.
GGGCGAAAGCCUGAUGGAGCAACGCCGCGUGAGUGAAGAAAGAUUUCGGUUCGUAAAACUCUGUUGUAAGGGAAGAAUAAGUACAGUAGUAACUGGCUGUACCUUGACGGUACCUUAUUAGAAAGCCACGACUAACUACGUGCCAGCAGCCGCGGUAAUACGUAGGUGGCAAGCGUUGUCCGGAAUUAUUGGGCGUAAAGCGCGCGCAGGUGGUUUCUUAAGUCUGAUGUGAAAGCCCACGGCUCAACCGUGGAGGGUCAUUGGAAACUGGGAGACUUGAGUGCAGAAGAGGAUAGUGGAAUUCCAAGUGUAGCGGUGAAAUGCGUAGAGAUUUGGAGGAACACCAGUGGCGAAGGCGACUAUCUGGUCUGUAACUGGCACUGAGGCGCGAAAGCGUGGGGAGCAAACAGGAUUAGAUACCCUGGUAGUCCACGCCGUAAACGAUGAGUGCUAAGUGUUAGGGGGUUUCCGCCCCUUAGUGCUGCAGCUAACGCAUUAAGCACUCCGCCUGGGGAGUACGGUCGCAAGACUGAAACU